Molecule: long non-coding RNA, 1055 nt
Organism: Camelus dromedarius (Arabian camel)
Lineage: Eukaryota; Metazoa; Chordata; Mammalia; Artiodactyla; Camelidae
Gene: SMIM30
Product: small integral membrane protein 30
Exons: 3
Source: RefSeq, a predicted model, not a curated record
AAUGUAGUUUGGAGACCCCGCCCUGCUCGCCAUUCCUGUAAUGGCUGCCUCCUGGAAGGCGCUGUCACGUGGAACCUCUUAGGCUCAGCAUCCGGAGCUCCAGGAAGGGAGUCAGAUAGAAUUAUACAAAUACCGCUUUCUUUGAAACCUUCAGCCUUCAAGAUCCAGCCACCUCAAGAGCUCAACACCAUGAUCUCAGUUUCAACGCAAUCGUUCCUAGUCCUCUUUUCAUUGCUUUUGGUGCUGCCUGUUGUUGAAGCAGUAGAAGCUGGAGAUGCAAUUGCUCUCUUGUUAGGUGUAGUUCUCAGCAUUACAGGCAUUUGUGCUUGUUUAGGGGUAUAUGCACGAAAGAGAAAUGGACAAAUGUGACUUUGAAGGGCCUCCUGAAUCAAACCUUGCCCUGAAAACUUCUAUGCUAUUGAGGUUCAGAACUGAGCUUUGGUAUCUGAAAGUUCCCAAGAAACAAUACAUAAGGUAGUUUCACAUUCUUGGUUAUUUCCCUAUAAACGGGAACAAAUUGAUAUUCUAUGUAAAAUGGAAAACAAAAUGUUUCCUUCAUAACAAAUAAUGCACUGAAAAAUGCCAUCUGUAAUUUGUAUUUGCUAGUUAGAAGGAGGGCCAAAGAAGUGAGAUGGGUGAAAUUUGCAUAAGUAAUAUUUUGUAGUUUCAGAAUUCUCAGUAGGAAGAAGGAAACUCUUGCCCAGAAUCUUGGGAAAUGGCUACUCUUCAGUUAUAAUCACUGUCUCCAUCUGCUGAGGACUCUUAUCCAUUUUUUUAUUGGAUUUUUCUUUUGUUAUCUCUCAAGUUAGUAUUGUACUUAGAUAUUAAAUAUAGCUGGUCAAAAAUUAAAACAUUUCUUUAGGGGUGGAAAGUUUAGAAAAUGUAUUCAAUGUAUGUAACAUUGAAUUGGAGGAAAGAUUUAAUGUAAAAAAGAAAUACUUUAUAUUGACACUGAAAUGAAGAAGAGAUUUAAUGUUAAACAAAAAGCCUUUAUAUUAACUGAAUAAUAUCUCCAUAGUGAGAAGUACUAUAUUAAAUAUAAACCCAUUAUGUUA